This 497-nucleotide ribosomal RNA is filed under the name uncultured bacterium. RNAcentral describes it as "partial 16S ribosomal RNA". It matches the Rfam family "Bacterial small subunit ribosomal RNA", at positions 28 to 507 of the family's 1533-position model. The record is from RNAcentral.
GAUGAACGCUGGCGGCGUGCCUAAUACAUGCAAGUCGAGCGAACAGACGAGGAGCUUGCUCCUCGGACGUUAGCGGCGGACGGGUGAGUAACACGUGGAAAACCUACCUAUAAGACGGGGAUAACUUCGGAAAACCGGAUCUUAUACCGUAAAAGAUAUUGAACCACAAGGUUCAAUAGUAAAAUACGGUUUUACCAUUACUAGUAGAUCGUGCGUUGCCGUAUUAGCUAGUUGGGAAGGUAACGCCUUACAAAGGCAACGAUUCGAAGCCGACCUGGGAGGGUGAUCGGCAACACUGGAACUGAGACACGGUCAAGACUCCUACGGGAGGAAGAAGUAGGGAAUCUCCGGAAAUGAGCGAAGGCCUACCGGGGAACGCCGGCGUGAGUGAUGAAGGUCUUCGGAUCGUAAAACUCUGUUAUUGAGGAAGAACAAAUGUGUAAGUAACUAUGCACGUCUUGACGGUACCUAAUCAGAAAGCCACGGCUAACUACGUG